UGUAAAGUUCAAGCUCCGAUUGUGAGGGCGAAACCGCGAAUGGCUCAUUAAAUCAGUCAUAAUCUACUUGAUUGUUUAAAGUUUAUAUGGAUAACUGUGGUAAUUCUAGAGCUAAUACAUGCGUGAAGGGGGCGACUCCGCGAGGAGAAGCUCUGCGUUUAUUAGACUAAGACCGGCGGGUUCCGCAAGGGACUCUCGCUUUGGUGGUGACUCUGAGUAAAUAAUGGGUGCAAGCCCAUGUUGCCGACCUGGCACUCAAACGGGCGGAGCAAUUUGUCCGGCCAGGCGAAUCAAUCGAGUGUCUGCUCUAUCAACUGUGGAUGGUAGGGUAAUUGCCUACCAUGGUGGUGACGGGUAACGGGGAGUUAGGGCUCGACUCCGGAGAACAAGCCUGAGAAACGGCUAGUAGGACUAAGGUCUGCAGCAGGCGCGAAACUUACACAAUGCUAGAUUUCUAAGAUGAUAGCGAUGUAGUGAAGAAAAAUAACGAUGUGCUUGUGUUUAAACAUACUUGCACAAUUGGAAUGAGACGACUCUAAACCAGUCAGUCGAGUAACAAAUGGAGGGCAAGUCUGGUGCCAGCAGCCGCGGUAAUUCCAGCUCCAUUAGCAUACAUUAAAGUUGUUGCGGUUAAAAAGCUCGUAGUUGAAUUUUGGACGGGCUCUCGUGGGCUGCGGUCGUUAAAGGUCGGCGGAUGCCUCUUCGGAGCUCCCCGGCUGGCCGUAGUCCCCACUUGGAACCCGUUGUUUCGUCACUUAAUCGAGUGCGAAGCGGGUCGGCGGAGACGGGGAGCAAUCCUCGCUGCGACGACAUGUUUACCUUGAGAAAAUUAGAGUGCUCAGCGCAGGCAGUUGGGGUGUAAAAGCCCCUUUAUGCUUGAAUAAUGUUGCAUGGAAUAAUAGAAUACGGCCUCGGUUCUAUUCUGUUGGUCUUAUAGAACAACAAACAAGUUGGUUUGGGCACUAAACGCCCGCCGGACGCCGUGGUUGGUCGCGAGUCGUGUUGUCUGGGGCCUAAAAAUCUCAGUACCUCGCUCGGUGGCCCUCCAUCUAAGCGGCCCCGGUUGGGUCAGCCCUCAACCAGCUGAGGCAAUGGUUAAAAGAAAUAGUCGCGGCGGCAUCAGUACUGCAUCGUGAGAGGUGAAAUUCUUAGACCGAUGCAAGACUAACUGAAGCGAAAGCGUUUGCCGAGGAUAUUUUCAUUAAUCAAGAACGAAAGUUAGAGGUUCGAAGGCGAUCAGAUACCGCCCUAGUUCUAACCAUAAACGUUGCCAACUAGCAAUUGGAUUGCGAUUCCUUUAACUGGCGCCUAAAAACCGCCAGUCAUUAUGAUCCAUCCAGCGGCUCUCGUAGGGAAACCAAAGUGUUUGGGUUCCGGGGGAAGUAUGAUUGCAAAGUUGAAACUUAAAGGAAUUGACGGAAGGGCACCACCAGGAGUGGAGCCUGCGGCUUAAUUUGACUCAACACGGGGAAACUUACUAGAUUAGAACUCUGGAAUGAUUGACAGAUUGAUAGCUCUUUCUUGAUUCAGAGGAUGGUGGUGCAUGGCCGUUCUUGAUUCGUAUUCCGAAACGUCUGCUUAAUUGCGAUAACGAGUGAGACCUCUCCACGCAAACUAGUUGCUCGGUGCGCUGUGGGACGCAAAAGUUCAGCGUCGGUUCAGGGCGAGUGGGUGUAAAAGCUCGCUGUCUCCCGGCGUUGGAUGUCCUCUGCUCGCCAGUAGACUUCUCUGCGGAAUCAUGAAUAAAAAAUUCAGAGAGACGAGGCAAUAACAGGUCUGUGAUGCCCUUAGAUAUUCUAGGCCGCACGCGUGCUACAAUGGCGUGUGCAGAAAGCUUGUUCGAGCUUCGUCCGAGGAGGGCUAGCUGUUUGGUUCGGAUGGGGGCAACUUCGUUCGGGUCGGCAGCCAAGCGGCCUCGGUAACGGGGCGAGAGAAACCGCGGUCGAAAGAUCGCGGCAAUCAUAAAUACACGCCGUGAUUUGGGAUUGGGGAUUGCAAUUGUUGCCCAUGAACGAGGAAUUCCCAGUAAGCGCGAUUCAUCAUAUCGCGCUGAUUACGUCCCUGCCCUUUGUACACACCGCCCGUCGCUACUACCGAUUGGAAGUUUUAGUGAGGCAUCUGGACUUGCUGGCCAGGGAGGGGGCAACUCCUCCAGGCUUGGCGGGGAAGUUUGUCGAACUCAAAUUUCUAGAGGAAGUAAAAGUCGUAACAAGGUUUCCGU
Molecule: ribosomal RNA, 2221 nt
Filed under: Jaranasia cf. anamensiae CQ3_1
Lineage: Eukaryota; Metazoa; Arthropoda; Arachnida; Trombidiformes; Eriophyidae
Description: partial small subunit ribosomal RNA
Rfam family: Eukaryotic small subunit ribosomal RNA
Source: RNAcentral